GAGCUUGCUCUUAUGAAGUUAGCGGCGGACGGGUGAGUAACACGUGGGUAACCUGCCCAUAAGACUGGGAUAACUCCGGGAAACCGGGGCUAAUACCGGAUAACAUUUUGAACCGCAUGGUUCGAAAUUGAAAGGCGGCUUCGGCUGUCACUUAUGGAUGGACCCGCGUCGCAUUAGCUAGUUGGUGAGGUAACGGCUCACCAAGGCAACGAUGCGUAGCCGACCUGAGAGGGUGAUCGGCCACACUGGGACUGAGACACGGCCCAGACUCCUACGGGAGGCAGCAGUAGGGAAUCUUCCGCAAUGGACGAAAGUCUGACGGAGCAACGCCGCGUGAGUGAUGAAGGCUUUCGGGUCGUAAAACUCUGUUGUUAGGGAAGAACAAGUGCUAGUUGAAUAAGCUGGCACCUUGACGGUACCUAACCAGAAAGCCACGGCUAACUACGUGCCAGCAGCCGCGGUAAUACGUAGGUGGCAAGCGUUAUCCGGAAUUAUUGGGCGUAAAACGCGCACAAGUGGUUUCUUAAGUCUGAUGUGGAAAGCCCCCCGCUCACCGUGGA
Molecule: ribosomal RNA, 560 nt
Filed under: Bacillus thuringiensis
Lineage: Bacteria; Bacillati; Bacillota; Bacilli; Caryophanales; Bacillaceae
Description: bacterial SSU rRNA
Rfam family: Bacterial small subunit ribosomal RNA
Source: RNAcentral